CUAGAAGGUCUUGUAGGUCUUCAUAGAACCAUUCAAUUUCAGUUUCUUCAGCAUUAAUGAUUGGAUACUGUGAUAGUGAAUGUUUUGCCUUGGAAAUGAACAGAGAUCAUUCUGUUGUUUUUGAGAUUGCACCCAACUACUUCAUUUCAGACUCUUUUGUUGACAAUGAGGGCUACUCAAUUUCUUCUAAGGGAUUCUUGCCCACAGUAGUAGAUAUAAUGGUCAUCUGAAUUAAAUUCACCCAUUCCAGUCCAUUUUAUUUCACUGAUUCCUAAACUGUCAAUGUUCACUCUUGCCUGACUAUUAUGUGUGUAUGGGAGGAAACAAAAAGAGAAAUUAAUAAGAUAUGUCUAGAAAGCAGCUGUUCCAUCCAGGGUGGAAUUACUAGAUGUCCCUCUUGUAAAUGAAAUUCUGCCUCUUCGAGAAUGCAAUAUGAAUUUCCCAGGAUCUACUGCUAAUACAAGGAUUUCGUGGUUUUUAGUAAUACAAUGGGCAUAUAGUAAGUUUUUAGAAUUGGUACUAGAAGUUGAGGGGCUUCCCAGGUGGAGCAGAGAUAAACCAUCUGCCUGCCAAUUCAGGAGAUGCAAGAGAUGCAGUUUCGAUCCCUGGGUUUGAAAGAUCUCCUGGAGGGCACGGUAACCCAUUUCAGUAUUCUUGUCAUGGACAGAGGAGCCUGCUGGGCUACAAUCCAUAGCGUCACAAAGAGUUGGGCAUCACUGAAUGACUGAGCAGAAAACACUAUAGGCUAUUUAGGGAGUACAAUAGGAAAAAAACAAAACAAAAACAAAAACAAGAAUGGCUGGGGAAGGGGAGAGGGUCAUUGAUGGACUUCCUGUGGAAAUAACGCUUGAACUAGGAGCAGGAAAAUAUAAAGAAGCCAGUCAGGGAAAAAUCUGGAGCACAAGAAAUUUGAUCUCUAAAUUCUUAUAGGUUUCUAAGUGUUGUGCGCACAAGGUGUGUGUGUGUUAGAGUAGUCAGGUAAGGGGAUAUGUGUCCUGUCUGUCCACUAUUAAAAAUGUAAAAUUAAAAUGUCUGCUUCAAGGGCAUCCAGUUGACCCUCCUCUUCAUCCUGAUAGUGAACACAGAAAAAAUAAGCAUUCAGGAAUGGAUUAAAGAAGCUUAACUAUUUCUUCCUAAAAUCUUAGAAACUUCUCGUUUGUGAAAGCCAAAGUUAGUUAAGCUACAAGGAGAUGGACUAGAUUUAUCGUUAUUCUUAGCUGCCUUUAUUAAUUCCAUCACCUGCUUUUAUCUCAAGGGUUAGUAGAGGAGCCACACAAAUUCUUGAUCAUUUCUCCCUUUGCCAAAUUAUCUUUUCUAGGAGUAAUAUCAUACCCUUUCCUCUUUUUCUGUACAUGAAGGCCAUAAAUGAAAAUGGAAAAUCAAAUGGAAUUUCCUUAGAUUUAAUUUUUUUGAACUAUUAGACUUAUAAUUGUGUGCUUAGUGCUUAGUCACUCAGUCGUGUCCAACUCUUUUUUUCUUGCCUAGAGAAUCCCCAUGGACAGAGGAGCCUGGUGGCAACAGUCCAUGGGGUCCCAAAGAGUCGGACAGGAUUGAGCAACUAAGCACACAACACAGUUAUCUUUCCAUUUGAACUGCACA
This is a long non-coding RNA of Bos taurus (domestic cattle), 1599 nucleotides long. The record is from Ensembl. Lineage: Eukaryota; Metazoa; Chordata; Mammalia; Artiodactyla; Bovidae.